UCUCCGUUGGUGAACCAGCGGAGGGAUCAUUACCGAGUUAUCAACUCCCAAACCCCUGUGAACAUACCCAACGUUGCUUCGGCGGGACCGCCCCGGCGCCCUCGGCGUCCCGGAACCAGGCGCCCGCCGGAGGUCCCAAACUCUUGUUUAAACCAUAGUGGCAUAUUCUGAGUCUCACAAGAAAAAUGAAUCAAAACUUUCAACAACGGAUCUCUUGGCUCUG
RNAcentral lists this unclassified non-coding RNA (223 nucleotides) under plant metagenome. RNAcentral's name for it is "partial contains small subunit ribosomal RNA, internal transcribed spacer 1, and 5.8S ribosomal RNA". The record is from RNAcentral.